AGUGAACGCUGGCGGUAGGCCUAACACAUGCAAGUCGAACGGCAGCACAGUAAGAGCUUGCUCUUACGGGUGGCGAGUGGCGGACGGGUGAGGAAUACAUCGGAAUCUACUUUUUCGUGGGGGAUAACGUAGGGAAACUUACGCUAAUACCGCAUACGACCUACGGGUGAAAGCAGGGGAUAUUCGGACCUUGCGCGAUUGUAUGAGCCGAUGUCGGAUUGGCUAGUUGGCGGGGUAAAGGCCCACCAAGGCGACGAUCCGUAGCUGGUCUGAGAGGAUGAUCAGCCACACUGGAACUGAGACACGGUCCAGACUCCUACGGGAGGCAGCAGUGGGGAAUAUUGGACAAAGGGCGCAAGCCUGAUCCAGCCAUACCGCGUGGGUGAAGAAGGCCUUCGGGUUGUAAAGCCCUUUUGUUGGGAAAGAAAAGCAGCAGGUUAAUACCCCGCUGUUCUGACGGUACCCAAAGAAUAAGCACCGGCUAACUUCGUG
This 492-nucleotide ribosomal RNA is filed under the name uncultured bacterium. Its description in RNAcentral is "partial 16S ribosomal RNA". It matches the Rfam family "Bacterial small subunit ribosomal RNA", at positions 29 to 507 of the family's 1533-position model. The record is from RNAcentral.